GGGGUUGUAGCUCAGUGGUAGAGCACUUGUCUCACAGGCAUGGGGCACUGGGUUUUAUCCUCAGCAACACAU
RNAcentral lists this transfer RNA (72 nucleotides) under Ictidomys tridecemlineatus (thirteen-lined ground squirrel). RNAcentral's name for it is "Spermophilus tridecemlineatus (thirteen-lined ground squirrel) tRNA". It matches the Rfam family "tRNA". From Rfam's summary of the family: Transfer RNA (tRNA) molecules are approximately 80 nucleotides in length. Their secondary structure includes four short double-helical elements and three loops (D, anti-codon, and T loops). The record is from Rfam by way of RNAcentral. Lineage: Eukaryota; Metazoa; Chordata; Mammalia; Rodentia; Sciuridae.